GUUUGUAUUUUUAUUUAUGUAGUUAACUACGGACAUGUUUAUUGUACAGCUGUGUGGGGUUCAUAAUUGUAGUUAUCCUUUUUUGUCCUUUUUCUUCUUUAAGCUGGAACCAGGGGAGCAUUGGAUCCGCAAGGGGUCAGGAGAUAUUCCGGUGCUUUACCUAAUUCAAAGCUCACCAAUAAUUUUACUUCCCCGAAAUUACAUCCUCCUUUAGCUUCAGGUGAUCUGAAUUGGUUUAGCAUAAUAGAUUGAGUUCCAUGUUUCCUUUUCUCUGACUUGAAGAGCUAGAGCUAAAUUAUAUUAUUUAAUCUGGUUAGAAAUAUCUAUGUUAUUCAUUAUAUAUCUGAAUGAAGGAAAGUGAGGCAUGUAACUAAGCCUUUUCCCAUUGGGCUAUGUGUACAAUAAAUGUAUUUUUAUCAUUUAGUGGCAUACCAUGGCUCAUAUUUUGAAUGGCGCAGGUGUCCAACGGAAGCUGGAUAUGGUAAAUCAGGUCAGUUGUUCUCUACUUUCUCUUUUUCUUGCCAUAUGCAUGCUUUCUCUUUACCCCAUGAUACGCAGAAUAUCAAAAGCUACUUAUAAUUUGAGAUCCUUUUUUUACAUAAUAGUAGAUUAUCUCUUAAAUGGUAAAUGCUUUUCUGGACUGUUAUAGUGUUCAUCUAAAAUCUAUGCUGGUUCAUUUCUUAAAUCCCUCUUUGUUAUGCCAACAAUUUCUUAUUGAUUCUUCUGAAGGAUGGAAUUAAGAAUGAUAAGUCGAUGAAAACUACAAGGCAACCAAAAUAUCGUCCACCAGGAAAGGACAGCCCAAGUAAGCCUUUCAGCCUUGCGUUCUCUAUUAGUUAUUGUAUUAGAUACUUGCUGUGAUGCUUGAGUUGAAAUGGUUUACUUAUCCAUACCCAGUAUGUAUCCAUACCGUGCUUCUUCGGUAGACAUGAGAUCGAUUCAUGUACAUAAGUACCCUGUACCAGUACCCUUAUCAGAAUGUGUAUUGGCCUAUUGGGUACUCGUACCUGAAUCCAUGCAACUUAAGAUAUUUCUUUUAUGGUUGGCAUUUGAUGGAAAGGAUUCCAAAAAAUAAGCUAUACAUAUAACCGCUUCAAUUGAUUGGUAUUCUUUAACAGUAUUUUAACCGGAAAGUUAAAUGAUAAAUAAUUCUCUCUGUUUCCUUCAAUGAACAAAGUGAUUGUACUUUUGUUAAUUUAGUUAUAUUUGGUUGUUGGCAGCUUCAAUGAACAAAGGGAGGAGUGCACGUGGUGUUCCGGAAACUGCUGAGAAGUUAGGGAAUAUGUCUGUUGGUACUCGAAGACAAUCGAUGGGACAACGUCCUCCUCCAAUGAAGACUGGGGUCAAUUGGAUUCCUGAAUCUAGAAACUUCAUGCUGAGGCCCACUCAACAGAUUCCAACUGGAAGAACUUUCACAAGAAAAGUUGCAGGAUGACAAGUAUGACUUGAUGCGCUAGAUUCUAUAAUUGUGAAUGUGGGGGUUUUGGGUCUGUUCUGAAUAAUGAUCAUAACUUUUGCGAGAGUCUAAACUACAGCGAGUCUUGCUUGUGUUAUUUUUAAUUGUCGUUUGGCAUUGUGUGUAAUACACAGUAGUGUUUAUGCCUUUUUAAUAAUAUGCAAUAUUAUACAAGUUUUUCUAUUUUUGUAUGGUGUGGAAUUUUCAUCUGGUUGUGGCAUGAUCCACUACAUGCAUUAACUUGGUAGAGGUGCUUAUGCAUGAUGUAUCUGCUCAUAAAAUAACAUUUUUUUUAAAUAAAAUAAUCAUUUUAUGUGAUCACUAACUUUAAGAGAUAGUAAAAUUUACUUUUGACGGGCUAACUAGAACUAAAUGAGGUUUUUACUCUUCUGUGUUAUAUAAGAUUGUGUUUUAAUCUCAAACUUUUAGUAAUUGUAUUCAGUAGUUUAUCAAUUUGCCGUAUUGAGAAGAAUAAUGUUCAAGACCUGAACUAAGAUGGCAAAAAAAUCCGUACUCGCGGAUAAAACUUGUAUGGGCAUGGGUAUGAGUUAUAAAUGGAUACCUGCAUGUAUUAUAAACGGGUUUUUAAAAGUAUCAGUAGUACAUACGGGCGAGUAUGUGUAUUAUAAUACCCGUACUUGUGGAUUCCCGUUAUUUAUAUGAUUAAUAUAUUAUAUUUAAUUAAAAUAAAAAGUACAUUAUUCUAACAUUCAUACACUAUGUAUAUUUUUUUCAUUUUACUUUGUUUACAUAUUUUAUUGAGUUUGGUGGUGAAACACCUACAAAUAUUAUUACAUGUAUAGAAAUAUACAUGUUUUACAAAGAAAAUAUAUACUUUUUGUUAAGAAAAUGAAAACAAAAAAUCACACAAAUAGAAAACACCAAUAAAUUUAGCACUUUUAUCUAUUAUUCAAUCAAAAGGUAAAAAAUAAUUAAGUUUUAUUUCAUUUGAAACAUAAUAGAAGUAAAAAAUUAAAAUUCAUUUAUAAUAUAGGAAACUCGCGGGUACCCGUUGUACCUGCGCUACCCAAAAAUACUCGGAAAUACCUGUACACGGGUACCCAUUGUACUUGCGAGUACCCAGAAAUACCCACAAACCCCUGCAUACUAGUACCCGUACUGUUUGACUUUCUUAAUUCAGUAAUUUGCACAAGGAAUAGAUAAAGAAGCAUUUGGCCUCAAAUGACAAAAAAUUGCAGCAACAACACAUUUCCGUUUGCGGGGAAAUUUUUUAAAACAUUAUAAAUUUAUAGCAAUUAUGAUAGAAAGUAUUCAGGGUACAUGAAGGAGUCUAGCUACUCUUCAUUACUAAUGAUGGUAAAAAAAUCCAACUCAUCGGUACUCGUAAUAAUAACUUACAGGUGGGAGCGAGUUUUGUAAUACCCGCAAAUUUAUAUAUUUAGCUUUUAGUUAAUUUUUUAUAUAUAUUUAUUAUUAUUUUAAGAUUAUAUAUCAUAUACUUUAUUAUUAUUUCAUAAUAAAUUACAUAUAUGACUACGAUCAUAAAUUUAUCAUAUAAAUAUCAUAUUAUUCAUAUAACAAUUAUUUUUACAUAAUAAUUAUUAUAAAUAUUAAAAUUAAAAAUCCGUUAGAUACCAACAAAUACCCACUAUCCGUAGGGUACCCACAAAUAUUAUAGGUUUGGACAUGGGAAAGUAAUACCCACCUCCGCCGGUGCCUGUUGUCAUCCAUGUCCAUUAGUGGAGAAUGACAAAAAUAGAUUUUCAAUGACACAGAUUUUUUUUUUUUUUUAAAUUAGAUAUUUUAAGAAAAUUUAUUUAUGCCACCUAUUACUUUGGUGUGACAUAUCAAAAAGUUUAUUUUCUCUUAAUAUUGAGGUCGUUUGAGGAGCCUGCUUCCCCAACAGAGGAGCUUCCAUCCUUUUCUGAUGCCAGGGAUAGCAUAGCUUUGUGAGUUUCUUCGUCUCCCUCUAUGCACUUAUUUUCUCUUUAAGUUUUACAUUUACUUUUUCUCUACUCUGGUCCUUUAUCAUUGACAAGAGUCCAAUUUAUAUACCAGAUUAUCUCGUUGUUGAUGAAACAUGACUUAUGAGAUUGUACAAAAACUAGGCUGUUAGUAAUAUUAAUUUAAAAAGCCAUCAUCAUUUGGUUGACUUGAUAGGUUCUCAUUGUGCUCUAGAUGUUGGGAUAGGUAACUAAACCUCUGUUAAUUUAGCAGAUGUUUUAGCUUGAAACUUGUGAUUUUAGGUUAUGUUGGAAUAACAGAGUCUAAGGUUGAAGGGCAAGAUCCUGACUAAGUUGAAGAAACAUUUUGAUGGAAUUUCUGGUUGUGAGUGUUUUUGGUGUUUGGCAUUGUUUAAAGAGUAAAUUAAUUGACACCCUGAGUUUUAGUGAAAUUAUACAAACUACUCCUCAUUUUUUUACAUUACACAAACCUCCCAUAAUUCUACUUUCAUUACACUGACCAGCCCUGCAUAAGAAAAUAAGUGUAAUAUUUUAAACAAAAAAAUAUGAUAAACACAAUUAAGUUAGUUAAACAAAACAUGAUAUAUUGUGGUGGAGACAAAUCCAAAUAAUAUAUGAGUCAAUAUUUCUUUAUUAUUUUUGGUUCGUUACACUAUAUUAUAAGAGCGAUUUAAACAAUAUUUCAAUAGAAUUGUUGAUUCCACAGGUUAGUUUAUCUUAAUUUGGGCCAUGCUAUUUUUAGUAGCUAGCUCCUGUGUUGGCAAUAUAGGCAUUUAAGCUGAGUUAUUGAAUAUGCUUUUAUGUCCAAACUCAAGUUGGAUAAUUUUUUUAAUUGUCUCACAUUUUGACUACCCCAUUUUUCUGCUUUAGGUUCUAUCUAACAGUUUGUCUUGUACUUGAAUUCUACAGCUUGCUGGUGUACAGCUUUCUGUAUUGGUUCCAUCUGCAGGUGCUGAUGCAAUCAGCCUUAUCACAGUAAGUAGCUUUGCAUUUAUCACAUGUUGAGCUAGUCCUUUCAACCAUUUCUCAACUAACAGAGUCUAAUGUUUUUCUUCUUCCUGUUUUCUCUAUUCCUACUAAUGUAGUCACUUUGUUCAUGGGAUCCUUGCAAGAGGCCAACAGCUUCGGAGGCUCUCCAACAUCCUUUCUUCCAGGUGUUUUUUUAACUAGAAGUCAUGUUUUGUUGUCUAUCUUCUGUGCAAGAAAGAUAUCACAAUUUUCCCUUUAUCAGCUGUUUUUUUACCUAUUUUUUCUUGUUUAUCUGUUUUGUUGUAGAGUUGCUUUUACAUUCCUCCAUCCCUCCGCACCAGAGCGGUAGCGAGAGCUCCUCCAUCUGGUUUGUAUUUUUAUUUAUGUAGUUAACUACGGACAUGUUUAUUGUACAGCUGUGUGGGGUUCAUAAUUGUAGUUAUCCUUUUUUGUCCUUUUUCUUCUUUAAGCUGGAACCAGGGGAGCAUUGGAUCCGCAAGGGGUCAGGAGAUAUUCCGGUGCUUUACCUAAUUCAAAGCUCACCAAUAAUUUUACUUCCCCGAAAUUACAUCCUCCUUUAGCUUCAGGUGAUCUGAAUUGGUUUAGCAUAAUAGAUUGAGUUCCAUGUUUCCUUUUCUCUGACUUGAAGAGCUAGAGCUAAAUUAUAUUAUUUAAUCUGGUUAGAAAUAUCUAUGUUAUUCAUUAUAUAUCUGAAUGAAGGAAAGUGAGGCAUGUAACUAAGCCUUUUCCCAUUGGGCUAUGUGUACAAUAAAUGUAUUUUUAUCAUUUAGUGGCAUACCAUGGCUCAUAUUUUGAAU
Molecule: long non-coding RNA, 5168 nt
Filed under: Lupinus angustifolius (narrow-leaved blue lupine)
Lineage: Eukaryota; Viridiplantae; Streptophyta; Magnoliopsida; Fabales; Fabaceae
Description: long non-coding RNA (LANG_LNC002522)
Source: RNAcentral